This is a long non-coding RNA of Micropterus dolomieu (smallmouth bass), 375 nucleotides long. RefSeq lists it as uncharacterized. NCBI's taxonomy places the organism in Eukaryota, Metazoa, Chordata, Actinopteri, Centrarchiformes, Centrarchidae. The record is from RefSeq and is a predicted model, not a curated record. The transcript is spliced from 2 exons.
CUCGUUUGUCGUGUGUGUGUGUGUGUGUGUGUGUGUAUGCGUGUUCAUGGGCGUGUCCGAUCCUGGCUCCUCUCCACCUGCAGUGUCUCACACCUGUGGCUCAACCAGUAAUCAAUCCGUGCAGUUAAAUACUCCGGUUCAGCUCCCACUCUUCGCUAGUUCAUCAGUUUACCUCCUGCGUAUCACCCGAGCCCCGAGACGCUGCCCACCUGUCUACCUGAACUCUGCCUGUCAGCCUGCCAAGCCACUCCGCCCUGAACUGAAGGACGCCAAUACCAAGCCCCGCUCUGUCUGGAAACCCCCGCUUAUCCCAAAUCAUUCGUUCUCUUUCCUGCACUGUAAAUAAUAAAUCAGAUCGUGUGUUUUGACAUCUAA